UACGAAGGGGGCUAGCGUUGUUCGGAAUCACUGGGCGUAAAGCGCACGUAGGCGGAUGUGUCAGUCAGGGGUGAAAUACCGGGGCUCAACCUCGGAACUGCCUCUGAUACAGCACGUCUUGAGUCCGGAAGAGGUGGGUGGAAUUCCUAGUGUAGAGGUGAAAUUCGUAGAUAUUAGGAAGAACACCGGUGGCGAAGGCGGCCCACUGGUCCGGUACUGACGCUGAGGUGCGAAAGCGUGGGGAGCAAACAGG
This 253-nucleotide ribosomal RNA is filed under the name uncultured bacterium. RNAcentral describes it as "partial 16S ribosomal RNA". It matches the Rfam family "Bacterial small subunit ribosomal RNA", at positions 524 to 776 of the family's 1533-position model. The record is from RNAcentral.